Molecule: ribosomal RNA, 481 nt
Filed under: uncultured bacterium
Lineage: Bacteria
Description: partial 16S ribosomal RNA
Rfam family: Bacterial small subunit ribosomal RNA
Source: RNAcentral
GAUGAACGCUGGCGGCGUGCUUAACACAUGCAAGUCGAACGAAGCAUUUAGGACAGAUUACUUCGGUUUGAAGUUCUUUAUGACUGAGUGGCGGACGGGUGAGUAACGCGUGGGUAACCUGCCUUGUACUGGGGGAUAGCAGCUGGAAACGGCUGGUAAUACCGCAUAAGCGCACAAUGUUGCAUGACAUGGUGUGAAAAACUCCGGUGGUAUAAGAUGGACCCGCGUCUGAUUAGCUAGUUGGUGAGAUAACAGCCCACCAAGGCGACGAUCAGUAGCCGACCUGAGAGGGUGACCGGCCACAUUGGGACUGAGACACGGCCCAGACUCCUACGGGAGGCAGCAGUGGGGAAUAUUGCACAAUGGAGGAAACUCUGAUGCAGCGACGCCGCGUGAGUGAAGAAGUAAUUCGUGAUGUAAAGCUCUAUCAGCAGGGAAGAUAGUGACGGUACCUGACGAAGAAGCUCCGGCUAAAUACGUG